CACACAGUAAACGAUAAUCACUAGGUGUCGGUUUCUUAUCAAUGGAUUCGGUGCCGUAGCUAACGCGUUAAGUGAUUCGCCUGGGGAGUACGAUCGCAAGGUUGAAACUCAAAGGAAUUGACGGGGGCCCGCACAAGCGGUGGAGCAUGUGGUUUAAUUCGAGGCAACGCGAAGAACCUUACCCGGGUUUGACAUCCGUAGAAUCCUUCAGAGAUGAGGGAGUGCCGGUUUACCGGAGCUACGAGACAGGUGC
RNAcentral lists this ribosomal RNA (253 nucleotides) under uncultured Candidatus Cloacimonas sp. RNAcentral's name for it is "partial 16S ribosomal RNA". It matches the Rfam family "Bacterial small subunit ribosomal RNA", at positions 796 to 1041 of the family's 1533-position model. Lineage: Bacteria; Pseudomonadati; Candidatus Cloacimonadota; Cloacimonadia (SeqCode); Cloacimonadales (SeqCode); Cloacimonadaceae (SeqCode). The record is from RNAcentral.